This 291-nucleotide long non-coding RNA is filed under the name Gossypium raimondii (Peruvian cotton). RNAcentral describes it as "long non-coding RNA (GRAI_LNC005494)". The record is from RNAcentral. Lineage: Eukaryota; Viridiplantae; Streptophyta; Magnoliopsida; Malvales; Malvaceae.
ACAAUACAUAAGAGGGAGAAAAACAACACAACAAGAGGUAAACGUUUUUGAAAUGGGAAGCAAAAAUGGACAACCUCUUUCGGCACAAGAAUAAAAGUCAUAUGUCCGAAUUAGCACCAUGGGAAACCCACUUUCAGCCAACUACUACUACACCCCUAAUUCCACUCCCCAAAUCUCUCAACACCCCUAAUUUGAAACACUUUCAAACUCCUCCAAAUCCUUAUCCCAUAAAUCACUCCCCCAAGACCAAUUCCACAACCACCUAAGCAGAAUCCCAAUACAACACAACCA